UUCUAGAUUACAGACAGUGAACUUAACUAUCUUCCAAUUAUACUGAUGUUUGCAUAGGCUCGUGUUUAAACAUAGACAGACGACAAGUUUGUGGUGCUUGUAAUUCUAGAUUACAGACAGUGAACUUAGCUAUCUUCCAAUUAUGCAUUCAAGGUUUGCCAUUUCCACUUAGCAUCAGACUUUGUUCUCUUGUUUUGGAAUAGUAACCGAAACAUUGUAUCAUUUCAGGUCAUGAAUACAAUGCAACAGGUUCUGGAGAAGAAACUGAUAUACGUGUAGAACCAUCAUCAACCUGUCCGAUGCUGUAGUGUAUCCAGCCUCGUUAAUUAGAAUACGUCUUGCAGCAUUCCCAUAUUUCCACUAGAAAAAUUUCGGUGGAAUUGAAAUCUAUAGAGAUACAUGUCGAACCAUCUUCGAACUGUUUUCAGAUUUCCUUUCGUCAUUGCAUGUUUACUGAAAAGCAUUAUUUAACAUCAAUAAUAACGAGUCCAGCCCUUACCUUCAAUUGGCACAUUUCUUCCUUCGCUUUGGUUUUCUGUAUGCGUAUAAAAAAAUAAACGCAUUCUUUGUCCAAAUUAUCUCAUUUUUUUGUUCUUCUUCUAUUUCUUUUAUCAUAGGCAGCUGGUAAAAAUAACUGGUCUUCGGGGUCGCGGUGAACGACGCACCUGACGUCGCCGCACUUACCUGGGAUAGCCGUUCUCGAUCUAUUGUACAAGCAUCCUGAUUUUAGAUAUCCUUUCGUCUUCGACCGCCGGAAAGUGAUAUAUUUCACAGUCCAGCCCUCUCUUCCCCACGUUCGUAGGUGUUUCCUCCCUUGCCUUAUCAGAUCUUGCAUCAACCUGUCGGGAUCUUCUCCGGGUCUAGGCCGCUUAUUCAACCAACGACACUCUCUAUCUUUAUCACUUUGCCAUUU
Molecule: long non-coding RNA, 913 nt
Organism: Anneissia japonica
Lineage: Eukaryota; Metazoa; Echinodermata; Crinoidea; Comatulida; Comatulidae
Exons: 3
Source: RefSeq, a predicted model, not a curated record